RNAcentral lists this ribosomal RNA (229 nucleotides) under uncultured bacterium. RNAcentral describes it as "partial 16S ribosomal RNA". It matches the Rfam family "Bacterial small subunit ribosomal RNA", at positions 568 to 796 of the family's 1533-position model. The record is from RNAcentral.
UGCGCAGGUGGGAAUGUAAGUCAGUGGUGAAAUACUGCCGCUUAACGGUAGAAUUGCCAUUGAUACUGCAUUUCUUGAGUAUGGUUGAGGUAGGCGGAAUGUGUCGUGUAGCGGUGAAAUGCAUAGACAUGACACAGAACGCCGAUUGCGAAGGCAGCUUACUAAGCCAUUACUGACACUGAGGCACGAAAGCGUGGGGAGCGAACAGGAUUAGAUACCCUGGUAGUCC